GGUGGUUACGAUGAGGAAAAAGAAGCUCCCUCUUCUGAGAAAUGAAAUGAAGAAGGAUUGCUGGCAGAAUCGAACCUAUGACUUUACUCGCCACCACUGAGUAA
This is a non-coding RNA of Punica granatum (pomegranate), 104 nucleotides long. NCBI's taxonomy places the organism in Eukaryota, Viridiplantae, Streptophyta, Magnoliopsida, Myrtales, Lythraceae. The record is from Rfam.